This 440-nucleotide long non-coding RNA is filed under the name Prunus persica (peach). RNAcentral's name for it is "long non-coding RNA (PPER_LNC007135)". Lineage: Eukaryota; Viridiplantae; Streptophyta; Magnoliopsida; Rosales; Rosaceae. The record is from RNAcentral.
UUGAUGUUUUUACAUGGAAAUACGAUCAUCUUGACAUGAAUAUUUAUAGAUAGGCAUAAAUACACAGGCUCCCAACCUAAAGAUUUGUUUAUUGAAUAAAAGCUGGGAGAAGAAUAUACUAAUUCCUCCAAUAUAAAUACUCAUCACAGGUUUACUUGUAAGGACAUGACGAAUGGGUUUGUUCAUUUAGGUGAAUUAUAAAUACUAUAUUCAGACCCCCCCAAAAAAAAAAAAAAACACCUAUCGUCAUUAUGCAUAAGCCUAUUGAUCAACUUACUCCCUUCCAUUUCAUUCUCAUUCUCAGUAUAUAUACAUAUUCCAUGGGCGAAUGGAAAACCCUAAACACUCUAUGAGAAAACUCUAAGGAAAAAAGUCAUAGUCGCCGCAUCUUUGAGGGUUGGCGGCCUCCUUCCCUACCUCCUCCCCCUCCUUUCAUCCCU